UUUGUUUUUGUUUUUUUGUGUUUAUUUUCCCCUGAUUAGAAAUGAGUAUUCAAUUGCUAUAAAUAGGAAUUAAAUUAUGUGUUUUUAUUUUUUAUUUUUUAUUUUUUAUUUUAUAUUUAUUCAUUUCGACUAUUCUUAACAGUUCGGUUCAAAAUUUUCUUUCCUAGAUAGUGGAAUGUGCAUUUUUGAAUUGAAAUUACCAUAUGCAAGUCCUCUCUUUAAUAGACAUGUUGUUGAUCUAUUACAAUUGCUAUUAUAUGUCUUGCAAAAUUAUGGAAAUGCUAAUUUGCAAGAAUGAAGGUUCUUUUUCAACCAUUUUGUGGGAUCAUAUUGUUUUUCUCUUUCCAAUGAGGAUAAUGGACAACAGUUGCAUCUAUUUCUUUUUCCUUUUUAUGCUUCCACCCUGCAUUUAGGAGAUGAAAACCAAAAACCAUUUCAUAUUUUUUCUUCUAUGGUAACAACUACAUGCUUUUAUCUAGAUGUAUUUCACAAGAUAAUUCCAUUAUGCUUUAUGUAUUAGUGAAAUUUAGCUGCUUUUAGUCAUUGAUAUGUUUGCUCCUUUCAGAUUUUUAGCUAAUUUGUGGUUUGUUCGAAAUUUUGCAUCAUAUUAUUCUUGACUGGAUUGCAUUGAUAUUUAUGUACAUAUCUGGUUAAUAUUCAGCCAAAUAUCUCUUGCUGGUUCCUCUUGAAGUUUUAGUUUUGAACUUUCUUUCCAGGCAAGACCAAUCCAUAUGUUAUUUUAAGCCUAGGGGACCAAGUCAUACGCAGCAAAAAGAAUAGCGAAACCACAGUCAUUGGACCUCCUGGUGAACCAAUUUGGAAUCAGGGAGAACUUGGAAAAGGAAUCGCGCAUUAUGGAGCUCAGAAAUCAGCUAAUAUUUAUCUUGCUUUCUUUAGGUGGUGUCAAAAUUAUUGUAUUGAUUGUGAAACAUUUUCUCCUGUUUGUAUGGUACACGGUGCAGAAUUAUGAGAACAAUAGAGUUGGCUACUGCAAAGGAGAAGCUACAUGAGCUUGAGAGAAAAAAGGAAGAAAUGUUAAGGUUUGGUUCCCCUGCUUCCCUUCUCCAAAGGCUUCAAGACACAAUGAACAUGACAGAUGAGGAAUCUGAAAAUCUGCACAAGCAGCUUUUUGUGCAAAUAUACAAGAAGCUUCGCACCACUUAAGCGAGCACUCAUUCAUCUUGCAGCUAAAACAAAUUCACUCAGUUGAAUUGAUAUUAUAGAAAGAUAUAUACUUGGAACACAUUGAAAUCUUACUUCUAGUUUCAAUGCAUUGGCUAGAUAAACGUGAUUGUCUAUGUAUUAUUUGGUUAAAUAUUUUCUCUUUGCUAGUAUAUCAGUUUUGACAGCACCUGUUCAUGUACGUUCAACAUUCAUCGUGGUAUGGUAUUAUAUAGUUACAAGUUUAUCA
Long non-coding RNA from Ziziphus jujuba (common jujube), 1411 nucleotides. RefSeq lists it as uncharacterized. The record is from RefSeq and is a predicted model, not a curated record. The transcript is spliced from 3 exons. Lineage: Eukaryota; Viridiplantae; Streptophyta; Magnoliopsida; Rosales; Rhamnaceae.